CCCUUAGAUGUUCUGGGCUGCACGCGUGCUACACUGAUAUUGCCAAUAUGUCAUUCUCAUCCGAAAUGGAUUGGGUAAUCAAGUAAUGAAAUUUCAUGCUUGGAAUCGGUAAUUGCAAUUUUAUCGUGAACGAGGAAUUCCUAGUAAGCACUAGUCAUCAGCUAAUGUUGAUUAUGUCCCUGCCCUUUGUACACACCGCCCGUCGCUACUACUGAUUGGGUGUUCAAGUGAGAUGCUUAGACCCUUGUUGCAUGGUUCAUUAUUGUGCUCCGAAAGGAAAAAGUUUCAAGCUUGAGUGUCUAGAGGAAGUAAAAGUCGUAACA
This 323-nucleotide ribosomal RNA is filed under the name uncultured eukaryote. Its description in RNAcentral is "partial 18S ribosomal RNA". It matches the Rfam family "Eukaryotic small subunit ribosomal RNA", at positions 1470 to 1796 of the family's 1831-position model. The record is from RNAcentral.